RNAcentral lists this transfer RNA (74 nucleotides) under Haliotis rubra (blacklip abalone). RNAcentral's name for it is "tRNA-Asn". It matches the Rfam family "tRNA". Rfam says of the family: Transfer RNA (tRNA) molecules are approximately 80 nucleotides in length. Lineage: Eukaryota; Metazoa; Mollusca; Gastropoda; Lepetellida; Haliotidae. The record is from RNAcentral.
GUCUCUGUGGCGCAAUCAGUUUAGCGCGUUCGGCUGUUAACCGAAAGGUUGGUGGUUCAAGCCCACCAGGGACG